RNAcentral lists this long non-coding RNA (1137 nucleotides) under Oryctolagus cuniculus (rabbit). RNAcentral's name for it is "lncRNA (ENSOCUG00000032101.1)". The record is from RNAcentral. Lineage: Eukaryota; Metazoa; Chordata; Mammalia; Lagomorpha; Leporidae.
AUGUUCCCUGAGUAUUUGUUAAGUGAAGUUGAACACACACCUGCAGGAGGCUUUGGUUACAUCAUUUGUUCACUCAUUCAUUCAACACACACAGCAAGUCUCUGUGCACCAGACACUCCUAAAAUCCAGAGCGCGGGGCAGCCGCCUCCAUACCCGGGGAAGGCUCCGGUGCCCAGGACAUCUCGGGAUGCUCUGUGGUCCCCGCGGCACAGAGACAGCGCAGAAGGGUUCUGGUGGCACCGAGACACGGAGGCCCCACACUCCCAGGCCUCAAAGAGCCACCUUGUGCUCUGGGCUUUCAUGACGGCGCCCCCCGCCCAGCCACCCCCGGCAGCCGCGAGCCACUCCCCUCUCAAGACUGCUAUUGACACGGCCCCGACGGACGCCACCAGGCUGGGCAGCGAGGCUGGCGGCUCCCCGCGAAGUGAGUUCCACGCAUACUUCUGGGUUUCAGUCAGCCAGCUCUGGGCACUGGGGCAGCGGGCCCCAGCCAGACCCAGGGAGCAGGAGGGGGUGGCAGGGCCAAAGAGGCCAAGGCCCAGGCCGGGGCAGCAUUCCAGCGGGGCCGAGACCCUCAGCCAGGCCUCCCCUUCCAGGCAGGGGCAGGAAUGGGAGCCAGGAAGGCCAGGGUGGGCGGUCCUGGGAGGGCCAGAGGUCAAGCACGCCUUACGGAGGUGCUGGGCAGUGGGCUGUGUGGGCCCCUCCUCCUGCAGCCGGACCCCCUCACAGCUGGGACCUGAGUGGGGAAGAGGACAGCCGGGGAGAGCGGGGAGCCCCUCCCACAUGCCUCAAGGGGUCUGCGCAUCCAGGACGCACAUCUGGGCCUCCAAGUGGCCUUUGUCAGCCCAGGCCCUCCCACAUCCAGGUGGUCCCUCCUGCCCUCUCUCCUGGGACGCCCACCCCAAGCCCCGAAGCCUCUGCAGACCCAUCCCGAGCUUCCGGUUCUACGGAACAGCCAGCAAGGCCAGUGCAGCUCCAAACAGGGUGACCAGGCCACAGAGCUCCCGUUCCCCGCCCGCAGGUCCUCCAUUCCCGCCCAGCGCAGGGCCUGGCCUGGCCCACUCACGCCCGAAAGCCCUCGGAUUAAUCCAACUGUCUGUAGAGUCUCAGGGAAGAUCUGAUGAGGAGAUUAAGUAA